GAAUGUUAUCACGGGAGACACACGGCGGGUGCUAACGUCCGUCGUGAAGAGGGAAACAACCCAGACCGCCAGCUAAGGUCCCAAAGUCAUGGUUAAGUGGGAAACGAUGUGGGAAGGCCCAGACAGCCAGGAUGUUGGCUUAGAAGCAGCCAUCAUUUAAAGAAAGCGUAAUAGCUCACUGGUCGAGUCGGCCUGCGCGGAAGAUGUAACGGGGCUAAACCAUGCACCGAAGCUGCGGCAGCGACACUGUGUGUUGUUGGGUAGGGGAGCGUUCUGUAAGCCUGCGAAGGUGGCCUGUGAGGGUUGCUGGAGGUAUCAGAAGUGCGAAUGCUGACAUAAGUAACGAUAAAGCGGGUGAAAAGCCCGCUCGCCGGAAGACCAAGGGUUCCUGUCCAACGUUAAUCGGGGCAGGGUGAGUCGACCCCUAAGGCGAGGCCGAAAGGCGUAGUCGAUGGGAAACGGGUUAAUAUUCCCGUACUUGGUGUUACUGCGAAGGGGGGACGGAGAAGGCUAUGUUGGCCGGGCGACGGUUGUCCCGGUUUAAGCGUGUAGGCUGGUUUUCCAGGCAAAUCCGGAAAAUCAAGGCUGAGGCGUGACGACGAGGCACUACGGUGCUGAAGCAACAAAUGCCCUGCUUCCAGGAAAAGCCUCUAAGCAUCAGGUAACAUCAAAUCGUACCCCAAACCGACACAGGUGGUCAGGUAGAGAAUACCAAGGCGCUUGAGAGAACUCGGGUGAAGGAACUAGGCAAAAUGGUGCCGUAACUUCGGGAGAAGGCACGCUGACACGUAGGUGAAGUGAUUUACUCAUGGAGCUGAAGUCAGUCGAAGAUACCAGCUGGCUGCAACUGUUUAUUAAAAACACAGCACUGUGCAAACACGAAAGUGGACGUAUACGGUGUGACGCCUGCCCGGUGCCGGAAGGUUAAUUGAUGGGGUCAGCGCAAGCGAAGCUCCUGAUCGAAGCCCCGGUAAACGGCGGCCGUAACUAUAACGGUCCUAAGGUAGCGAAAUUCCUUGUCGGGUAAGUUCCGACCUGCACGAAUGGCGUAAUGAUGGCCAGGCUGUCUCCACCCGAGACUCAGUGAAAUUGAACUCGCUGUGAAGAUGCAGUGUACCCGCGGCAAGACGGAAAGACCCCGUGAACCUUUACUAUAGCUUGACACUGAACAUUGAGCCUUGAUGUGUAG
This 1189-nucleotide ribosomal RNA is filed under the name Salmonella enterica subsp. enterica serovar Bareilly. RNAcentral's name for it is "partial 23S ribosomal RNA". It matches the Rfam family "Bacterial large subunit ribosomal RNA", at positions 967 to 2141 of the family's 2925-position model. Lineage: Bacteria; Pseudomonadati; Pseudomonadota; Gammaproteobacteria; Enterobacterales; Enterobacteriaceae. The record is from RNAcentral.